RNAcentral lists this long non-coding RNA (214 nucleotides) under Manihot esculenta (cassava). Its description in RNAcentral is "long non-coding RNA (MESC_LNC003680)". Lineage: Eukaryota; Viridiplantae; Streptophyta; Magnoliopsida; Malpighiales; Euphorbiaceae. The record is from RNAcentral.
AGAAAAGUCGCAGCAUACAGUUGAUCUUAUCACAACAGUAUUGCAGCAAGCAACUUGGCAAAGCAGCACGUGGAUGUUUUCAAAUAGGUACAACAAUACCUUACAGAAGCCAAUAACAAAUAUAAAGUUACAGUUGAUAAACAUAGGCGUUUCAAGACCUUCAAUGUCGGUGACCAAGUUAUGGUGUAUUUACGCAAGGAGCAUGGUGAAGGAC